Molecule: long non-coding RNA, 373 nt
Organism: Rhodamnia argentea
Lineage: Eukaryota; Viridiplantae; Streptophyta; Magnoliopsida; Myrtales; Myrtaceae
Exons: 3
Source: RefSeq, a predicted model, not a curated record
AAUUUGGUUCCGUCGAGGCGUUUGAUUGACAACGAGGCGAGUGUCUGAACAGUCCGAAACUGCAAUGGAAGGCGCUCAAGUUUCGCACAACGAACCUACACGAAGUUAGUUAAGGCAUGGGUCACCGGAUUCGUGCGCAGGAGACAAAGAUUGGCACAAGAGAUUGCUGAUGUUGAAAUGGAUACUGGGUUUAAGCCGGGAGUUCCAGCCCUGAAUCACCCAGAUCACACCAGGCACAAGUGAUCUGUUACAUGAUGGAGCAGGCAUUAGGGUUCUCAUCACUGAAAAUGUCUGGGGCAUAUGAUUGAUUGAAUCGCUGAUAUGAAGCACCCUGAUUAAUGUAACCUCGGAGAGACCAGCUGGUCACAUUUCU